Molecule: long non-coding RNA, 327 nt
Filed under: Pan troglodytes (chimpanzee)
Lineage: Eukaryota; Metazoa; Chordata; Mammalia; Primates; Hominidae
Description: long non-coding RNA NONPTRT003891
Source: RNAcentral
CGCGGAUUGUGGGAGGGAGGAGGCUCCGAACACUCGGGAAGCCUAGUGGACGAGGGGACUGGGGACAAGGGGGCUGCCAACACCCAGCGACGGAGACGGGGACUCCGACAUGGCACUUGUUGGAGGGUUUCAUGAAACUCAGGAACUGGGUCUCUUCUGAGGUAGACAGACCACAACUGCAGAGCAUCGUCAGACAGGAGAUAAAUACGUCCAUGUACAACACGCAGCAAAAUGAGGAAGCAGACCUGUGAGAUGUAAUAAACAACGUCCUUCUUGCCAUCCAUGCUGUAAACACAGCGGAGAUGUUCCUUGGCUGUUCCUGACACC